This 465-nucleotide ribosomal RNA is filed under the name Vreelandella stevensii. RNAcentral describes it as "partial 16S ribosomal RNA". It matches the Rfam family "Bacterial small subunit ribosomal RNA", at positions 338 to 795 of the family's 1533-position model. The record is from RNAcentral. Lineage: Bacteria; Pseudomonadati; Pseudomonadota; Gammaproteobacteria; Oceanospirillales; Halomonadaceae.
CCUACGGGCGGCAGCAGUGGGGAAUAUUGGACAAUGGGGGGAACCCUGAUCCAGCCAUGCCGCGUGUGUGAAGAAGGCCCUCGGGUUGUAAAGCACUUUCAGUGAGGAAGAACGCCUGGUGGUUAAUACCCAUCAGGAAAGACAUCACUCACAGAAGAAGCACCGGCUAACUCCGUGCCAGCAGCCGCGGGAAUACGGAGGGUGCGAGCGUUAAUCGGAAUUACUGGGCGUAAAGCGCGCGUAGGUGGCUUGAUAAGCCGGUUGUGAAAGCCCCGGGCUCAACCUGGGAACGGCAUCCGGAACUGUCAAGCUAGAGUGCAGGAGAGGAAGGUAGAAUUCCCGGUGUAGCGGUGAAAUGCGUAGAGAUCGGGAGGAAUACCAGUGGCGAAGGCGGCCUUCUGGACUGACACUGACACUGAGGUGCGAAAGCGUGGGUAGCAAACAGGAUUAGAUACCCUAGUAGUC